CCGACGGUGAGGGACGAAAGCUGGGGGCACGAACCGGAUUAGAUACCCGGGUAGUCCCAGCCGUAAACGAUGCUCGCUAGGUGUCAGGCAUGGCGCGACCGUGUCUGGUGCCGCAGGGAAGCCGUGAAGCGAGCCACCUGGGAAGUACGGCCGCAGGGCUGAAACUUAAAGGAAUUGGCGGGGGAGCACAACAACGGGUGGAGCCUGCGGUUUAAUUGGACUCAACGCCGGACAACUCACCGGGGGCGACAGCAAUAUGUAGGCCAAGCUGAAGACUUUGCCUGAAUCGCUGAGAGGAGGUGCAUGGCCGUCGCCAGUUCGUACUGUGAAGCAUCCUGUUAAGUC
This 345-nucleotide ribosomal RNA is filed under the name uncultured archaeon. Its description in RNAcentral is "bacterial SSU rRNA". It matches the Rfam family "Archaeal small subunit ribosomal RNA", at positions 691 to 1035 of the family's 1478-position model. The record is from RNAcentral.